Molecule: non-coding RNA, 46 nt
Organism: Aedes aegypti (yellow fever mosquito)
Lineage: Eukaryota; Metazoa; Arthropoda; Insecta; Diptera; Culicidae
Source: Rfam
AAAUCGGCCCUUUUCAGGGCCAACAGAUGUGUAUAAAAGAGUUAAU